AUUCUUUUAUACUCUAAAUUGUUCUCAUUCAUGGUUUUCUUUCAUUUGUGUGGCAUUGCCAUGGCCUCAGGUGUUGAGUUUUGGCUUUUGUGGGAUAUAUUUAUGUGGUUCAUAGCUGCUUUUUUAAUGUAAUAAUUGUAAGCAAUUCCACGAAUAUUCCUAUCACCCAAUGUUCCAAGGCACUUGAUAUAAGCUCAAGAAGUAAAGGACCAGAAAUCUUACAAAUAUCUAAAUAUAAAAGAGUUCUGAGAUACCCAAUCCUAAAUAUGUAUGAGAAAAAACAUCUUAAAAUAUGCAAAGCCAGAAGCUAGUCUUUAGAAAAUUCUUUCAGGAAUCACAUGUGAAAAAUUAUAAGCAGAAGAUUUGACUCUCUUUAAAGCAUGGUCAACCCAGAAGUUCUCUCCUGACAAGAAUAUUUAAAGAAGUGAUCAAAGAUUGUACAUCCAAACCUCUAGAGAAAAAUGUGUCUGAGUGGUUUAUCAGGAAAUUAACUAUUUAAAAAAUUGUGCCAUUUUUUUUCAUUUUUCUAGAUAUUUUCAAGUUUGUGGUGAAUCAUUAACUUUUUUAAAAAAUUCUAUUUUGUAGUUAUUUUUUCUCAUUCUAAAUGAAUAUUUUAAUAUGUGAUUUUAUACCUGUAAUUUUCUACUUUUUAAAAACAAUGAAAAUUUUAUCGAUAUUUGGUUUUCACAAGACCUGAAGCUACCUGCAUUUAUCCUAGUGUUUUUUUACACUUCACGGAAUGAGUAUUGACAUCAGCUGGUGGACAUGUCCUAGAGCUCCCAGCACUACCACUGUGUUGAUGAUUCCAGCUAGACAUUUCUCGUCUGAGCUUCUUAUAGAUGCCAUGUAGUGCCAGAGCACUUGGAUGUACAGCCCUGAAGAGUUGCAGGAUGCAAAGGAAAGAAGCAGUGCCUCUAGGGAAUUGUGACUGCUGGUGCAAGACCUGUGAAAUCAGGGGAAAUAAAAGGUGAAGAGGACUAUAGAACAACCUAUGGCAGAGGACACUUAUAAUAAGAAAAACAAAGCACUAGAGAGAAAAAAGUAGGGAUUCUCGGCCAAUUCAGCCACUUACUUACAACAUUCAUUUCAUGAAAUAUGUUUUCUUGUCUACAAAUCUAGAAAACUCCCAGUUAUGACAAGGGAAAAAUGCAAUUAUUAAGCAUGAAAAUAAAUUACUACACAAAAGCAUAGACACUGUUAUUAUCAUUAUCUUUAUCAACUGCUGAGUUUCUGAAGAGUCCACCAAAGUAACCAGUUGGUCAAGCAAAGAUGUAAAGCAAA
Molecule: long non-coding RNA, 1281 nt
Filed under: Mustela putorius furo (domestic ferret)
Lineage: Eukaryota; Metazoa; Chordata; Mammalia; Carnivora; Mustelidae
Description: lncRNA (ENSMPUG00000030591.1)
Source: RNAcentral